RNAcentral lists this ribosomal RNA (515 nucleotides) under uncultured bacterium. RNAcentral's name for it is "bacterial SSU rRNA". It matches the Rfam family "Bacterial small subunit ribosomal RNA", at positions 8 to 518 of the family's 1533-position model. The record is from RNAcentral.
AGAGUUGAUCAUGGCUCAGGAUGAACGCUAGCGACAGGCUAACACAUGCAAGUCGAGGGGCAGCAUAAAAGUAGCAAUACUUGGUGGCGACCGGCGCACGGGUGAGUAACGCGUAUGCAACCUACCUAUCAGGAGGGGAAUAACCCGGCGAAAGUCGGACUAAUACCGCAUAAAACAGGGGCACCGCAUGGUGAUAUUUGUUAAAGAAAUUCGCUGAUAGAUGGGCAUGCGUUCCAUUAGGUAGUUGGUGAGGUAACGGCUCACCAAGCCGACGAUGGAUAGGGAACUGAGAGGUUGGUCCCCCACACUGGUACUGAGACACGGACCAGACUCCUACGGGAGGCAGCAGUGAGGAAUAUUGGUCAAUGGGCGGGAGCCUGAACCAGCCAAGUCGCGUGAAGGAAGAAGGAUCUAUGGUUCGUAAACUUCUUUUGCAGGGGAAUAAAGUGCAGGACGUGUCCUGUUUUGUAUGUACCCUGAGAAUAAGGAUCGGCUAACUCCGUGCCAGCCGCCGC